This 518-nucleotide ribosomal RNA is filed under the name vouchered mycorrhizae (Glomus). RNAcentral's name for it is "SSU rRNA". It matches the Rfam family "Eukaryotic small subunit ribosomal RNA", at positions 557 to 1078 of the family's 1831-position model. The record is from RNAcentral. Lineage: Eukaryota; Fungi; Glomeromycota; Glomeromycetes; Glomerales; Glomeraceae.
CUGUCUGGUGCCAGCAGCCGCGGUAAUUCCAGCUCCAAUAGCGUAUAUUAAAAUUGUUGCAGUUAAAAAGCUCGUAGUUGAAUUUCGGGGUUAGUAGGUUGGUCAUGCCUCUGGAAUGCACUGGCCUCACUGAUUCCUCCUUCCUGAUGAGCCGUAAUGCCAUUAAUUUGGUGUUGCGGGGAAUUUGGACUGUUACUUUGAAAAAUUAGAGUGUUUAAAGCAAGCUAACGCUUGAAUACAUUAGCAUGGAAUAAUGAAAUAGGACGUUCGAUCCUAUUUUGUUGGUUUCUAGGAUUGACGUAAUGAUUAAUAGGGAUAGUUGGGGGCAUUAGUAUUCAAUUGUCAGAGGUGAAAUUCUUGGAUUUAUUGAAGACUAACUACUGCGAAAGCAUUUGCCAAGGAUGUUUUCAUUAAUCAAGAACGAAAGUUAGGGGAUCGAAGACGAUCAGAUACCGCCGUAGUCUUAACCAUAAACUAUGCCGACUAGGGAUCGGAUGAUGUUAAUUUUUAAUGACUCA